UACGUAGGGUGCAAGCGUUAAUCGGAAUUACUGGGCGUAAAGCGUGCGCAGGCGGUCGCGUAAGCCAGAUGUGAAAGCCCCGGGCUUAACCUGGGAAUUGCAUUUGGUACUGCGUGGCUAGAGUGCGGCAGAGGGAGGUGGAAUUCCUGGUGUAGCAGUGAAAUGCGUAGAUAUCAGGAGGAACACCGAUGGCGAAGGCAGCCUCCUGGGCCAGCACUGACGCUCAUGCACGAAAGCGUGGGGAGCAAACAGG
Molecule: ribosomal RNA, 253 nt
Filed under: uncultured bacterium
Lineage: Bacteria
Description: partial 16S ribosomal RNA
Rfam family: Bacterial small subunit ribosomal RNA
Source: RNAcentral